RNAcentral lists this ribosomal RNA (234 nucleotides) under Helotiales sp. RNAcentral describes it as "partial large subunit ribosomal RNA". It matches the Rfam family "Eukaryotic large subunit ribosomal RNA", at positions 104 to 339 of the family's 3401-position model. The record is from RNAcentral. Lineage: Eukaryota; Fungi; Ascomycota; Leotiomycetes; Helotiales.
ACAGCUCAAAUUUGAAAUCUGGCCUUUGGUCCGAGUUGUAAUUUGUAGAGGAUGUUUCGAACGUGGUCUAGUCUAAGUUUCUUGGAACAGAACGUCAUAGAGGGUGAGAAUCCCGUAUGCGACUAGGUGCCUAAGUCCAUGUGAAGCUCCUUCGACGAGUCGAGUUGUUUGGGAAUGCAGCUCAAAAUGGGAGGUAUAUUUCUUCUAAAGCUAAAUAUUGGCCAGAGACCGAUA